GCUUUCGUGGUGUAGUGGUCAGCACUCUCGGUGCAUAUUCGAGAGGUCCAUGGUUCGAGUCCUGGCAAGGCA
RNAcentral lists this transfer RNA (72 nucleotides) under Stegodyphus mimosarum. It matches the Rfam family "tRNA". From Rfam's summary of the family: Transfer RNA (tRNA) molecules are approximately 80 nucleotides in length. Their secondary structure includes four short double-helical elements and three loops (D, anti-codon, and T loops). Lineage: Eukaryota; Metazoa; Arthropoda; Arachnida; Araneae; Eresidae. The record is from Rfam by way of RNAcentral.